GAUGAACGCUGGCGGCGUGCCUAAUACAUGCAAGUCGAGCGAACGGACGAGAAGCUUGCUUCUCUGAUGUUAGCGGCGGACGGGUGAGUAACACGUGGAUAACCUACCUAUAAGACUGGGAUAACUUCGGGAAACCGGAGCUAAUACCGGAUAAUAUUUUGAACCGCAUGGUUCAAAAGUGAAAGACGGUCUUGCUGUCACUUAUAGAUGGAUCCGCGCUGCAUUAGCUAGUUGGUAAGGUAACGGCUUACCAAGGCAACGAUGCAUAGCCGACCUGAGAGGGUGAUCGGCCACACUGGAACUGAGACGCGGUCCAGACUCCUACGGGAGGCAGCAGUAGGGAAUCUUCCGCAAUGGGCGAAAGCCUGACGGAGCAACGCCGCGUGAGUGAUGAAGGUCUUCGGAUCGUAAAACUCUGUUAUUAGGGAAGAACAUAUGUGUAAGUAACUGUGCACAUCUUGACGGUACCUAAUCAGAAAGCCGCGGCUAACUACGUG
This 497-nucleotide ribosomal RNA is filed under the name uncultured bacterium. RNAcentral describes it as "partial 16S ribosomal RNA". It matches the Rfam family "Bacterial small subunit ribosomal RNA", at positions 28 to 507 of the family's 1533-position model. The record is from RNAcentral.